GAUGAACGCUGGCGGCGUGCCUAAUACAUGCAAGUCGAGCGAACAGACGAGGAGCUUGCUCCUCUGACGUUAGCGGCGGACGGGUGAGUAACACGUGGAUAACCUACCUAUAAGACUGGGAUAACUUCGGGAAACCGGAGCUAAUACCGGAUAAUAUAUUGAACCGCAUGGUUCAAUAGUGAAAGACGGUUUUGCUGUCACUUAUAGAUGGAUCCGCGCCGCAUUAGCUAGUUGGUAAGGUAACGGCUUACCAAGGCAACGAUGCGUAGCCGACCUGAGAGGGUGAUCGGCCACACUGGAACUGGGACACGGUCCAGACUCCUACGGGAGGCAGCAGUCGGGAAUCUUCCGCAAUGGGCGAAAGCAUGACGGAGCAACGCCGCGUGAGUGAUGAAGGUCUUCGGAUCGUAAAACUCUGUUAUUAGGGAAGAACAAAUGUGUAAGUAACUAUGCACGUCUUGACGGUAACUAAUCAGAAAGCCACGGCUAACUACGUG
Molecule: ribosomal RNA, 497 nt
Filed under: uncultured bacterium
Lineage: Bacteria
Description: partial 16S ribosomal RNA
Rfam family: Bacterial small subunit ribosomal RNA
Source: RNAcentral